RNAcentral lists this ribosomal RNA (253 nucleotides) under uncultured bacterium. Its description in RNAcentral is "partial 16S ribosomal RNA". It matches the Rfam family "Bacterial small subunit ribosomal RNA", at positions 524 to 776 of the family's 1533-position model. The record is from RNAcentral.
UACGUAGGGUGCGAGCGUUAAUCGGAAUUACUGGGCGUAAAGCGUGCGCAGGCGGCUUUGUAAGACAGGCGUGAAAUCCCCGGGCUCAACCUGGGAAUUGCGAUGGAGACUGCAAGGCUUGAAUCUGGCAGAGGGGGAUGGAAUUCCGCGUGUAGCAGUGAAAUGCGUAGAUAUGCGGAGGAACACCAAUGGCGAAGGCAAUCCCCUGGGCCUGUACUGACGCUCAUGCACGAAAGCGUGGGGAGCAAACAGG